GUGCUUGCUUCAGUAGCACAGACACUAAGAUUGGGUACAGAGAAGAUCAGAAUGGCCCUGUGCAAGGAUGAUACACAACACUGCAAUGUUCCACAUAUUUAA
RNAcentral lists this small nuclear RNA (102 nucleotides) under Neotoma lepida (desert woodrat). The record is from RNAcentral. Lineage: Eukaryota; Metazoa; Chordata; Mammalia; Rodentia; Cricetidae.